AAACCAGCACCUCAAGUGGUCAGGAUGAUUAUUGGGCCUAAAGCAUCCGUAGCCGGCACUGUAAGUUUUCGGUUAAAUCUGUACGCUCAACGUACAGGCUGCCGGAAAUACUGCAGAGCUAGGGAGUGGGAGAGGUAGACGGUACUCGGGAGGAAGGGGUAAAAUCCUUUGAUCUUUCGAUGACCACCUGUGGCGAAGGCGGUCUACCAGAACACGUCCGACGGUGAGGGAUGAAAGCUGGGGGAGCAAACCGGAUUAGAAACCCCAGUAGUCC
This 274-nucleotide ribosomal RNA is filed under the name uncultured bacterium. Its description in RNAcentral is "partial 16S ribosomal RNA". It matches the Rfam family "Archaeal small subunit ribosomal RNA", at positions 473 to 747 of the family's 1478-position model. The record is from RNAcentral.